GCGCGCAAAUUACCCACUCCCGGCACGGGGAGGUAGUGACGAAAAAUAACAAUACGGGACUCUUUUGAGACCCCGUAAUUGGAAUGAGUACACUCUAAAUCCUUUAACGAGGAUCUAUUGGAGGGCAAGUCUGGUGCCAGCAGCCGCGGUAAUUCCAGCUCCAAUAGCGUAUAUUAAAGUUGUUGCGGUUAAAAAGCUCGUAGUUGGAUCUCAGUUCCAGACGGGCGGUCCACCUAACGGUGGUUACUGCCUGGCCUGAACAGCCAGCCGGUUUCCCUAGAUGAUCUUCACCGGUUGUCUUGGGUGACCGGCACGUUUACUUUGAAAAAAUUAGAGUGCUCAAAGCAGGCGUGUAGCCUGAAUAAUGGUGCAUGGAAUAAUGGAAUAGGACUUCGUUUCUAUUUUGUUGGUUUUCGGAACACGAGGUAAUGAUUAAGAGGGACAGACGGGGGCAUUCGUAUUGCGACGCUAGAGGUGAAAUUCUUGGACCGU
Molecule: ribosomal RNA, 492 nt
Filed under: Vacrothele pseudohunanica
Lineage: Eukaryota; Metazoa; Arthropoda; Arachnida; Araneae; Macrothelidae
Description: SSU rRNA
Rfam family: Eukaryotic small subunit ribosomal RNA
Source: RNAcentral